UAUCCUAUACACCUAGUUUUUAUGUAUACGAUAUAUUCACCUGCACAUAAUACUUUAACUAGAUAUAUUUGGAUCACUUACCAAAUAUCGAGAGAGUUGUUCACUAAAUGCAUACCAUUCCUUGCCAUCAUGGCUAUCAAAGGGAGGCUCAUACUAAAAAAACAGCCGAAACCUUUUUGCAACGAUAGUUUGCGCGGCUUAACUUAUAGCUUGGAAAAUGGAACCAACAACCCAUUGGAUAUUUCACCUCAAAUAUUCCCCAUGCUUUCCAAAUCAAAGUCUGAUAUUCUAACAAAUGCGGCCAUAAAGAAAAAUAUUUGCGAGCCCCUAAAAAACCAUCCGUUGGAAUCAGAUACCGACUCAAUUCAGAAGAGUUUGAAUCAUUCAUCUAUUUCAAAAAAUGACCCGGUAUUUUCACAUUCCGUUUUGAAACGAAUGAAAGAAAUAAAAGUAGAACACGAAAUGCAUAUUAGAACCGUUUUCAUUCUCACCCUGGAGUUUCUGUUUCUUAUGUUACCUGUCACGUUAAUGCAAAUGUCGAUGGAUUUUUUUAUUAUCAGAUACAACGAGUUAUCUUUGUCAUUGAUUUAUGCUGUUUUAAAUACUCUGGAAUUCAUUUACGUAAGUAUGACUUUUUAUAUUAACUUCUUAUUUAACCGCCUAUUCCGACGAAGCGUACUGCAGCAACUUGAUGAGUUUAAAAAAUGGGUUACAAAAAAAGCACCCAACCCACAAAACAUACCAGAGGAAUAAAAAUUUCCACUAUCAUGCCAUGGAUGAGAGCGAAACUUGGGGAAAAUUAUGGAACGAGAACGGAAACAGUGAUUACUUGCAUGGAACAGUUCCGAAACGUCCCUAAGAUUAAAUUUAAACAAAAAUCUUGAUUUAAUUUUAUUACAUGAUUAUAAAUAUCCUAUAUUAUGAUAUUACCCAUUCGGUAUGUGUUAUUUAAGAUUAUAAAAACUUUUUUUAAUAUAUACUAAUUAUGAGACUGUGGAUUUUAAUGGAGGUAAAUUUUUUGUUAGCAUUGUCUGUUAAA
Gordionus sp. m RMFG-2023 is the source of this 1039-nucleotide long non-coding RNA. RefSeq lists it as uncharacterized. The record is from RefSeq and is a predicted model, not a curated record. The transcript has 3 exons. Lineage: Eukaryota; Metazoa; Nematomorpha; Gordioida; Chordodea; Parachordodidae.